GACGAACGCUGGCGGCGUGCUUAACACAUGCAAGUCGAACGGAAAGGCCCUGCUUGCCGGGUACUCGAGUGGCGAACGGGUGAGUAACACGUGGGUGAUCUGCCCUGCACUUCGGGAUAAGCCUGGGAAACUGGGUCUAAUACCGGAUAGGAGCCAUUUUUAGUGUGAUGGUUGGAAAGUUUUUUCGGUGUAGGAUGAGCUCGCGGCCUAUCAGCUUGUUGGUGGGGUAAUGGCCUACCAAGGCGGCGACGGGUAGCCGGCCUGAGAGGGUGGACGGCCACAUUGGGACUGAGAUACGGCCCAGACUCCUACGGGAGGCAGCAGUGGGGAAUAUUGCACAAUGGGCGCAAGCCUGAUGCAGCGACGCCGCGUGGGGGAUGACGGCCUUCGGGUUGUAAACUCCUUUCGCUAGGGACGAAGCUUUUUGUGACGGUACCUAGAUAAGAAGCACCGGCUAACUACGUG
RNAcentral lists this ribosomal RNA (465 nucleotides) under uncultured bacterium. Its description in RNAcentral is "partial 16S ribosomal RNA". It matches the Rfam family "Bacterial small subunit ribosomal RNA", at positions 28 to 507 of the family's 1533-position model. The record is from RNAcentral.